UCCAUUUCGAAGCUCAUUACUACCAAAGACAGUGGAGGGUCUAAUAUGUUUGAAGAAUUGGUAUAGUGAAAGCAACCAACCAAUUAUUGUCAAGGAAUACAUGGAUGAAGAAGAAUUACUAAAUACUUCUGAACAACUUGAAAAUGAGAUUAUUACUACUCCUAGCGAGCAUCCUAAAUGAUAUAUAGCAUUGUUGCAAGUUUGAAAUGGUUUCAUUAGAGAUUAAGAGUUGCAUUUCAUUUGGAGCCUACUUUUGAAGUCACUUUUGUGUUAAUUAUGGAGACUUUAUGAAUUAUUAUGAACUUAGAUUGUGUUAUGGACUUAAAUUAUGGACUUUUUUUUUGGAUUGUUAUGAACUUGUAUGGACUUUUUAAGGACUUUUUCUAGAUUGUUAUGGAGUAGUACUAUGGAAUUUAUAAGAAUUGUUACGAAAUUUUCAUGAUUAUUAUUAUGCCUUGUUAUGGAGUUUAUAAAGAUUGAUAUGAAUUUCUUAAGGACUUUUAUGCAUUGUUAUUAACAGGUAUAAAUUUUUAGUUAUUUUUUUUUUCUUGUGACAAUAUACUUUGGAAGUUUUGAUUUUUAAGCAACCCAACCGCCCAAAAAACCGCAUAAAACCGCCCUCUAAAAAACCGCCCAACCCAAACUUUUAUUGGGCAGGUAUGGGUUGUGAUUUUAAAAAACCGCCAAAUAAAAAAACCGCCAAACCGCCCAAAAACCGCCCAACCCAACCCAUGUGCAGGCCUAAUGCAUACUGUUAUACUAAUCUUACCUGGAUUCCGAAUUCAGGUGUGCCGGUCAACCUGACUGGAACUUUAACUGCGCGGCGGAUUACAGGCUCCUAAACCAUAAAAAUCACAACACUAUAAGUGACACGCUAAAUCACUUCCCGGGGACUUAAACUAGGAACGAAAAGUUUCCCU
Molecule: long non-coding RNA, 920 nt
Organism: Cannabis sativa
Lineage: Eukaryota; Viridiplantae; Streptophyta; Magnoliopsida; Rosales; Cannabaceae
Exons: 3
Source: RefSeq, a predicted model, not a curated record